RNAcentral lists this ribosomal RNA (497 nucleotides) under uncultured bacterium. Its description in RNAcentral is "partial 16S ribosomal RNA". It matches the Rfam family "Bacterial small subunit ribosomal RNA", at positions 29 to 507 of the family's 1533-position model. The record is from RNAcentral.
AGUGAACGCUGGCGGCAGGCCUAAUACAUGCAAGUCGAGCGAACAGACGAUGAGCGUUCGCCUUUAACGUUAGCGGCUGACGGGUGAGUAACACGUAGGUAACCUUCCUAUAUUACUUGGAGGACUUCGGGAAACCGGAUAUAAUACCGGAUAAUAUUUCCAACCGCAUGAUUCGAUAGUGAAAGAUGCCUUUGCUAUCUCUUUUAGAUGGACCUGCGCCGUAUUAGCUAGUUGGUAAGGUAACGGCUUACCAAGGCAACGAUCCGUAGCCGACCUGAGAGGGUGAUCGGCCACACUGGAACUGAGACACGGUCCAGACUCCUACGGGAGGCAGCAGUAGGGAAUAUUGCGCAAUGGGCGCAAGCCUGAUGGAGCAAUACCGCGUGAGUGAUGAAGGUCUUCGGAUCGUAAAACCCUGUUAUUAGGGAAGAACAACAGCGUAAGUAACUGUGGAUGUCUUGACGGUACCCAAUGAGAAAGCACCGGCUAACUUCGUG